RNAcentral lists this ribosomal RNA (939 nucleotides) under uncultured bacterium. Its description in RNAcentral is "bacterial SSU rRNA". It matches the Rfam family "Bacterial small subunit ribosomal RNA", at positions 52 to 998 of the family's 1533-position model. The record is from RNAcentral.
UACCUGCAGUCGAGGGGUAUUGUUCUUCGGAAUGAGAGACCGGCGCACGGGUGCGUAACGCGUAUGCAAUCUACCUUUUACAGAGGGAUAGCCCAGAGAAAUUUGGAUUAAUACCUCAUAGUAUAUAGAGUUGGCAUCAACACUAUAUUAAAGUCACAACGGUAAAAGAUGAGCAUGCGUCCCAUUAGCUAGUUGGUAAGGUAACGGCUUACCAAGGCGACGAUGGGUAGGGGUCCUGAGAGGGAGAUCCCCCACACUGGUACUGAGACACGGACCAGACUCCUACGGGAGGCAGCAGUGAGGAAUAUUGGUCAAUGGGCGCAAGCCUGAACCAGCCAUGCCGCGUGCAGGAUGACGGUCCUAUGGAUUGUAAACUGCUUUUGUACGGGAAGAAACAGCGAUUCGUGAAUCGCCUUGACGGUACCGUAAGAAUAAGGAUCGGCUAACUCCGCGCCAGCAGCCGCGGUAAUACGGAGGAUCCAAGCGUUAUCCGGAAUCAUUGGGUUUAAAGGGUCCGUAGGCGGUUUGGUAAGUCAGUGGUGAAAGCCCAUCGCUCAACGGUGGAACGGCCAUUGAUACUGCCAGACUUGAAUUAUUAGGAAGUAACUAGAAUAUGUAGUGUAGCGGUGAAAUGCUUAGAGAUUACAUGGAAUACCAAUUGCGAAGGCAGGUUACUACUAAUGGAUUGACGCUGAUGGACGAAAGCGUGGGUAGCGAACAGGAUUAGAUACCCUGGUAGUCCACGCCGUANACGAUGGAUACUAGCUGUUGGGAGCGAUCUCAGUGGCUAAGUGAAAGUGAUAAGUAUCCCACCUGGGGAGUACGUUCGCAAGAAUGAAACUCAAAGGAAUUGACGGGGGCCCCGCACAAGCGUGGAGCAUGUGGUUUAAUUCGAUGAUACGCGAGGAACCUUACCAGGCUUAAAUGUAGAUUGACCGG